This 259-nucleotide unclassified non-coding RNA is filed under the name fungal sp. RNAcentral describes it as "partial internal transcribed spacer region". The stretch from base 1 to 46 matches the Rfam family "Eukaryotic small subunit ribosomal RNA", at positions 1786 to 1831 of the family's 1831-position model. The record is from RNAcentral. RNAcentral also lists the same sequence under 1 other name. Lineage: Eukaryota; Fungi.
AAGUCGUAACAAGGUAACCGUAGGUGAACCUGCGGUUGGAUCAUUAUUAAAUGAUAGCCAGUUCUCUCUGUUUCGGCAGAGAUUGAGCAGGCAUUAACCCUUUGUGAACUGUAAUUGUACUUGGUAGGUUCAUUCUUACCCUCGAAGCUUCGGUGAAGAGAGUGAGAAAGUGCCUACCGCCUUUAUUACCAACCCCUAUAUGAUUAUCUGAAAUUGAGUUAAUGAGAAACAACUUUUGACAACGGAUCUCUUGGCUCUC